RNAcentral lists this transfer RNA (72 nucleotides) under Centruroides sculpturatus (bark scorpion). Its description in RNAcentral is "tRNA-Thr". It matches the Rfam family "tRNA". Rfam says of the family: Transfer RNA (tRNA) molecules are approximately 80 nucleotides in length. The record is from RNAcentral. Lineage: Eukaryota; Metazoa; Arthropoda; Arachnida; Scorpiones; Buthidae.
GGCUCAGUGGCCAAGUGGUACGGCGUCGGUCUCGUAAACCGAAGAUCCAGGGUUCGAAUCCCUGCUGAGCCU